GGCGGACGGGUGAGUAACGCGUAGGAAUCUACCUAGUAGAAGGGGAUAGCCCGGGGAAACCCGGAUUAAUACCGUAUACCUCCUUUGGGAGAAAGAAGGCCUCUCUUUGAAGCUUUCGCUAUUAGAUGAGCCUGCGUAAGAUUAGCUUGUUGGUGAGGUAAAGGCUCACCAAGGCGACGAUCUUUAGCUGGUCUGAGAGGACGAUCAGCCACAUUGCGACUGAGACACGGCCCAGACUCCUACGGGAGGCAGCAGUGGGGAAUAUUGGACAAUGGGCGCAAGCCUGAUCCAGCCAUACCGCGUGUGUGAAGAAGGCCUUCGGGUUGUAAAGCACUUUAAGCAGGGAGAAAAAGUUAUAAGUUAAUACCUUAUAACCGUGAUGUUACCUGCAGAAUAAGCACCGGCUAAUUCCGUGCCAGCAGCCGCGGUAAUACGGAAGGUGCAAGCGUUAAUCGGAAUUACUGGGCGUAAAGCGCGCGUAGGUGGUUUGUUAAGUUGGAUGUGAAAGCCCUGGGCUCAACCUAGGAACUGCAUCCAAAACUAACUCACUAGAGUACGAUAGAGGGAGGUAGAAUUCAUAGUGUAGCGGUGGAAUGCGUAGAUAUUAUGAAGAAUACCAGUGGCGAAGGCGGCCUCCUGGAUCUGUACUGACACUGAGGUGCGAAAGCGUGGGUAGCGAACAGGAUUAGAUACCCUGGUAGUCCACGCCGUAAACGAUGACAACUAGCUGUUGGAAGACAACGUCUUUCAGUGGCGCAGCUAUCGUUCUAAGUUGUC
RNAcentral lists this ribosomal RNA (777 nucleotides) under uncultured marine bacterium. Its description in RNAcentral is "bacterial SSU rRNA". It matches the Rfam family "Bacterial small subunit ribosomal RNA", at positions 97 to 869 of the family's 1533-position model. The record is from RNAcentral.